AAUCCAUGAUGAGGGCACAUGCGUAGAAGAUCCUUAAACCGUUCAUGUGCCUCAAACAAUGUCUCGGUGUCCCCUUGCCUGAAGGAUGAAAUCUCCUGUCUCAGUCU
Molecule: small nucleolar RNA, 107 nt
Organism: Dioscorea cayenensis subsp. rotundata (Guinea yam)
Lineage: Eukaryota; Viridiplantae; Streptophyta; Magnoliopsida; Dioscoreales; Dioscoreaceae
Source: RefSeq, a predicted model, not a curated record